Molecule: ribosomal RNA, 1355 nt
Filed under: Nocardia abscessus
Lineage: Bacteria; Bacillati; Actinomycetota; Actinomycetes; Mycobacteriales; Nocardiaceae
Description: bacterial SSU rRNA
Rfam family: Bacterial small subunit ribosomal RNA
Source: RNAcentral
AGUCGAGCGGUAAGGCCCUUCGGGGUACACGAGCGGCGAACGGGUGAGUAACACGUGGGUGAUCUGCCUCGCACUUCGGGAUAAGCCUGGGAAACUGGGUCUAAUACCGGAUAUGACCUGCUGUCGCAUGGCGGUGGGUGGAAAGAUUUAUCGGUGCGAGAUGGGCCCGCGGCCUAUCAGCUUGUUGGUGGGGUAAUGGCCUACCAAGGCGACGACGGGUAGCCGGCCUGAGAGGGCGACCGGCCACACUGGGACUGAGACACGGCCCAGACUCCUACGGGAGGCAGCAGUGGGGAAUAUUGCACAAUGGGCGAAAGCCUGAUGCAGCGACGCCGCGUGAGGGAUGACGGCCUUCGGGUUGUAAACCUCUUUCGACAGGGACGAAGCGCAAGUGACGGUACCUGUAGAAGAAGCACCGGCCAACUACGUGCCAGCAGCCGCGGUAAUACGUAGGGUGCGAGCGUUGUCCGGAAUUACUGGGCGUAAAGAGCUUGUAGGCGGUUUGUCGCGUCGUCCGUGAAAACUUGGGGCUCAACCCCAAGCUUGCGGGCGAUACGGGCAGACUUGAGUACUGCAGGGGAGACUGGAAUUCCUGGUGUAGCGGUGAAAUGCGCAGAUAUCAGGAGGAACACCGGUGGCGAAGGCGGGUCUCUGGGCAGUAACUGACGCUGAGAAGCGAAAGCGUGGGUAGCGAACAGGAUUAGAUACCCUGGUAGUCCACGCCGUAAACGGUGGGUACUAGGUGUGGGUUUCCUUCCACGGGAUCCGUGCCGUAGCUAACGCAUUAAGUACCCCGCCUGGGGAGUACGGCCGCAAGGCUAAAACUCAAAGGAAUUGACGGGGGCCCGCACAAGCGGCGGAGCAUGUGGAUUAAUUCGAUGCAACGCGAAGAACCUUACCUGGGUUUGACAUACACCGGAAACCUGCAGAGAUGUAGGCCCCCUUGUGGUCGGUGUACAGGUGGUGCAUGGCUGUCGUCAGCUCGUGUCGUGAGAUGUUGGGUUAAGUCCCGCAACGAGCGCAACCCUUAUCUUAUGUUGCCAGCGCGUAAUGGCGGGGACUCGUGAGAGACUGCCGGGGUCAACUCGGAGGAAGGUGGGGACGACGUCAAGUCAUCAUGCCCCUUAUGUCCAGGGCUUCACACAUGCUACAAUGGCCGGUACAGAGGGCUGCGAUACCGUGAGGUGGAGCGAAUCCCUUAAAGCCGGUCUCAGUUCGGAUCGGGGUCUGCAACUCGACCCCGUGAAGUUGGAGUCGCUAGUAAUCGCAGAUCAGCAACGCUGCGGUGAAUACGUUCCCGGGCCUUGUACACACCGCCCGUCACGUCAUGAAAGUCGGUAACACCCGAAGCCGGU